GACGAACGCUGGCGGCGUGCUUAACACAUGCAAGUCGAGCGGAAAGGCCCUGCUUUUGUUGGGUGCUCGAUUGGCGAACGGGUGAGUAACACGUGAGUAACCUGCCCUUGACUUUGGGAUAACUUCAGGAAACUGGGGCUAAUACCGGAUAGGAGCUCCUGCUGCAUGGUGGGGGUUGGAAAGUUUCGGCGGUUGGGGAUGGACUCGCGGCUUAUCAGCUUGUUGGUGGGGUAGUGGCUUACCAAGGCUUUGACGGGUAGCCGGCCUGAGAGGGUGACCGGCCACAUGGGGACUGAGGUAGGGCCCAGACUCCUACGGGAGGCAGCAGUGGGGAAUAUUGCACAAUGGGCGGAAGUCUGAUGCAGCAACGCCGCGUGCGGGAUGCCGGCCUUCGGGUUGUAAACCGCUUUCGCCUGUGACGAAGCGUGAGUGACGGUAAUGGGUAAAGAAGCACCGGCUAACUACGUG
Molecule: ribosomal RNA, 468 nt
Filed under: uncultured bacterium
Lineage: Bacteria
Description: partial 16S ribosomal RNA
Rfam family: Bacterial small subunit ribosomal RNA
Source: RNAcentral